CGCCAGGUCGAAUUGCUGCUUGUUGCACCACCAGGGGCGAUUGCACAGGGUUCUUUGCAUCGAUCACACAACAAAUGACCUCUUUAGCGAGGAACGUGUUAGUAGUAAAAGUAGAAAAUUCAUCGGAUAAGAAUUUUGCCGACGAAAUUCCUUUCUCGCUAGGUUGUUGAUGACUCGAUAUACGACCAAUGUGAAGUCUGGG
This 202-nucleotide long non-coding RNA is filed under the name Malus domestica (apple). RNAcentral's name for it is "long non-coding RNA (MDOM_LNC011076)". Lineage: Eukaryota; Viridiplantae; Streptophyta; Magnoliopsida; Rosales; Rosaceae. The record is from RNAcentral.